RNAcentral lists this ribosomal RNA (482 nucleotides) under uncultured bacterium. RNAcentral describes it as "partial 16S ribosomal RNA". It matches the Rfam family "Bacterial small subunit ribosomal RNA", at positions 30 to 507 of the family's 1533-position model. The record is from RNAcentral.
AUUGAACGCUGGCGGCAUGCUUUACACAUGCAAGUCGAACGGCAGCGCGGGGCAACCUGGCGGGGAGUGGCGCACGGGUGAGUAAUAUAUCGGAACGUAACCAGACGUGGGGGAUAACGUAGCGAAAGUUACGUUAAUACCGCAUACGAUCUAAGGAUGAAAGUAGUGGACCGCAAGGCCUUAUGACUUUGGAGCGGCCGCUAUCUGAUUAGCUAGUUGGUGAGGUACAGGCUGACCAAGGCGACGAUCAGAAGCUGGACUGAGAGGACGACUGGCCACACUGGAACUGAGACACGGUCCAGACCCCUACGGGAGGCAGCAGUGUGGAAUUGUGGGCAGUGGGCGCAAGCCUGAACCAGCAAUGCCGCGUGUGAGACGAAGGCCUUCGGGUUGUAAAGCUCUUUUGUCAGGGAAGAAACGGUAGAGGCUGAUAUCCUAUGCUAAUGACGGUACCUGAAGAAUAAGCACCGGCUAACUACGUG